CCUGGAGCAGGCAGUACAGUGGGAGAACAAGGAGAGAAUGGAGUUGCAGCAGACUGCUCAGGAAUUGUACAUCACCAGUAGCUUCUGUCUCAGCUAAGUGUGGGAGACUGAUACUGAUGAGCCAUUAACAAUGGUGGAGAUUCUGAAUCACUGAAGCACUUGAUAAAAGAAAUGUCGUGGGUGAUGUGAAAAUCUACAUAUGCCCAUGAGAGUAUAUUGAGUUUACAGAAGUGCUUGCCUUGGUGAUCCAAAAAAGGCAGGAUCCGGCCGGGGGCAAGGUGAUUAUUCUGUCUGAUGAGGAGAAUAAGAGCCAGUUUGUGGUAUUGACAGAAGAAUGAAAGUAAAGUCUUGAAAGAUGGGAAGAUCAGGAGCAGUCUGGAGUCAUGGUAUAUGAAUGAACUAGUGAGAGUGGGCACAAAGUCUGAAGAUCUUUGUAGUGCAGCUAAUGUCUAAGGGAGAAUAUACCUACCCUAGAAGAGACAUUAAACAACCAGGUUGUCUCUUCAUUCUGUUGAUUGUUUCCUUUGUUGUAAAAGAAACUCACUUUACAGGAAAAGAGGUGCAACAGUGGCUGGAUGAUUAUAAGAUCGACUGUUCCUAUUAAAAACUACACCAUCCAAAAGAGGCUGCCAUUGAAGAGCAAUAAAGUAGUUCAUAGAAGGCAUAGUUCAACCAAUCUACAAAGGCCAAAAAUAUUUUCACAGGCCCCCAAAAGAUGAACUCCAAUCUGCUGCCCCUAAACGCAUUCUCCACUGUCUGGAAGAUGUGCAAAGGCAACGGCACAGCGUUCUCCAUCUCAAAUCCUUCAAAGUGCUGUCAGAAUAAAAGAAUCCCCACCAAAA
This 842-nucleotide long non-coding RNA is filed under the name Homo sapiens (human). RNAcentral describes it as "long intergenic non-protein coding RNA 1013". Lineage: Eukaryota; Metazoa; Chordata; Mammalia; Primates; Hominidae. The record is from RNAcentral.